This 253-nucleotide ribosomal RNA is filed under the name uncultured bacterium. RNAcentral describes it as "partial 16S ribosomal RNA". It matches the Rfam family "Bacterial small subunit ribosomal RNA", at positions 524 to 776 of the family's 1533-position model. The record is from RNAcentral.
UACGAAGGGAGCUAGCGUUGUUCGGAUUUAUUGGGCGUAAAGAGCUCGUAGGCGGUCUGUUGCGUCGGCUGUGAAAACCCGGGGCUCAACUCCGGGCCUGCAGCCGAUACGGGCAGACUAGAGUUCGGCAGGGGAGACUGGAAUUCCUGGUGUAGCGGUGAAAUGCGCAGAUAUCAGGAGGAACACCGGUGGCGAAGGCGGGUCUCUGGGCCGAUACUGACGCUGAGGAGCGAAAGCGUGGGGAGCGAACAGG